AGAUAAGCUCAUGGUGGCUGGAGUCUGGACAUCUAUUUUUCAUCCUUCAAGCAAAUAAUGGACGUAAUUAGCAUCGCGUUCAUAAAUUUUGCAGUCAGAGUAUUUAACAAGCAGACUAUUUAUAAACAACAACCCGACUAUGAUAUGUUUUCACCAAAAAUUCACAUGGAAUUAGUUUCAACAGAUACGUUAGCAAGUUAGAGGAACACAUGAACUGAAAAUAAACUAGUCUUUUACAAUUAUUAACAAAGAGUAAAAGAUACUUUACUUUGACUAAAAAUCAUAUACGCUGGGCUAUUCAAGUGAGAUUUAUUCACAUAUGUAUGUGAGAGAAAGAGCCUGUGCAGGAACAAAUGGAACAUGUGCAAUAUAAUGGAGUUUAAACAUGAAAGAGAUGCCCCUAAUUUAAUGAAUUUACGCGACUCUGGAAGCAGUACAUGAAAAAACCAAAUCAUAUUCACCACCUACUUCACAUCUUCAUAACAGCGUGUUCUGUUCCGCUUCCUCUCCGCUCUAGUUCUGUCUUCCUCAGCUUUGCUGAAUUUCCUUCAAAAAAGAAGGUUUCUUAUAAGCUAAAACAGCUCAGUGGAUUCUAGUUCUAACAACAAACAGAAACAAAAACAAAAAAUGGUACGUGGAACGCAGAAGGAGAAAUCAGGAUGUAGAAGAAAGCAAAAGGUUCAAGAGGGGGCUGCUCACCUUGAUUGGUGCUGCUUGGCGUGGACGAGCGCUCACUGUCAAAAGCAAUGCAGGAGAGAAAUGAAGCUAACAGCCCUCACAGGAGGGGAGCCUAACAAGCUACAGGAGUCAACCCUCACAGCUUCUGGGA
Molecule: long non-coding RNA, 829 nt
Filed under: Triticum aestivum (bread wheat)
Lineage: Eukaryota; Viridiplantae; Streptophyta; Magnoliopsida; Poales; Poaceae
Description: long non-coding RNA (TAES_LNC017236)
Source: RNAcentral